Molecule: non-coding RNA, 72 nt
Organism: Aedes aegypti (yellow fever mosquito)
Lineage: Eukaryota; Metazoa; Arthropoda; Insecta; Diptera; Culicidae
Source: Rfam
GGCUCGGUAGCUUAGUUGGUAAAGCGCUCGUCUAGCAUACAAGAGUCCUGGGUUCAAAUCCCAGCCGAACAC